Molecule: long non-coding RNA, 4181 nt
Filed under: Homo sapiens (human)
Lineage: Eukaryota; Metazoa; Chordata; Mammalia; Primates; Hominidae
Description: HSALNT0317570
Source: RNAcentral
AUUCUACCCAUCUCCUUACUCAGGACGCCAUCGCGGGUUUCCCAGGGCCAACCAUUCCCGCCGCGCCACCCUAAGACGCGCCCGGCGCCCAAACACUGAGGAAGCGGGUGGGGUCCCCUGCGGCCCCUGCAGCGGGAGGGGCGCCCGGACGUCACAGCAGGGCCGCCCGCCCGCCUCGCGGCCUCCCGCCUCCCGCCCCGCGGACCCCGCGCGUCCCCCGCGCUCCUUCCGUGGCCCAGGUCCCAGGCGAGCUCCGCCCCUCAGACCAGCGCGCUCGAGGUCGCCCCGCCACAGCCCGUCCUCUACCCGCCUCUGCUGGAAAACAGGCCGCAGAAUAUAGGUGUUCUCGGGCUCCCCUGCGUUCUUCUCAGCCUCAGGCACCCCGUCGCCCACCGAGAAGGACACUCCGAUGGACGUGGCCAUGCCGGGGCUUCUCGGUCCGGGCGUAGCUCGCGAUGAAGGCCUAGCGGGUUGCGGUCGCGGCCGGCAGCAGGGAAAGCGUCUCCAGGGCAACAGGGCCGCCCUCCCGCCUCGCUGAAGCCCGCGAGCGCCCCGCACAGCCGCCCUCCCUGCCCGCGCCUGCGCACCGGCUGCUGGGCGGGAACUGGUCGCGUCCGGACGCGCGACAGCUUCCACCCGCCUCAGGCAGUAUCAGCCGCGCCGCAGUCGGAGGAAAUAGACGCGGGGCCUGAGGCUCCUGGACUUGAGAGGCUGCAGAAAAGGCCCAGGAGGCUGUUGAUGACAUGAACGACCACCAGGAGAAGCUGGAGCAGGCUGAUGCACAGAAGGGCGGAGAAGAGGGACACGUGCCAGACAACAGCUGCAGAGGGCUCCAGGCAGACGGAGUUCCAGAGCGAACGGUCAUACAGAUAAUUCCUAUCCCAAAAAAUAAGGAGACCAGGGGUCAGGCGAUAAGUAAGGAAAGCCAAACAGGCAACCCCAGUAGAAAACUGGGGUCUCCCCUGACCGGGUCAUGGGACUGGGCUCAUGAGGGUGACCGUUACUGCUCCAUUUGCAAUUUUCUGAGUAUCAGAGGAGCAAGAUGCUAGGAUGUGUGACCCAAAGGAGCUUGUAGUUCGUCUGUGUGUCUUUUUGUCUCUCUCUCUCUCUCUGUCUGAAAAGACCAAGCCCAAGCCUCCACCCAUUUACCUACUAUGCAGGUCUUUGAAUGGGUAACCAUAUUUCCAAGCUUGUGUCUGAUUGAAGGAUGAAACAUCAAACAUGCAAAAAGGACCAUCUUUCAGAGCAACUCCAGAAGUGACAAAGCAAAUCAGGGCUCCAAGUAAAGCCAGGCCACCUGACAACAGAGCAGUAAGCACCUGCGGAGGGAGGAGAAACACUGAGCUAAGACGGGGUCGCAGCUGGGGAGCCUGCGGAGGGAGGAGAAACGCUGAGCUAAGACGGGGUCGCAGCUGGGGAGUCUGUGGGGCGGUCUGCACAGGUCUGACUUCUCUGGUCUCAGUGUUCUUCCGUCCUGUCAUGGGGGAGAAUUCUGUCCAUGGCACCCCCUUUGAAGCAUAACCCAUGGUGGGGAGGCCGUGAGGGGUUUCUAGGAGAGAAAGGACCAAGAAGCAGAAUCGCAGGCCCCGGAUCUCCCUGACCGUGAGUUCGCCUGAGCUGCUCAGCAGCUUGGCAUCACAAACCUUUUGCACAUUACAGCCAUUCAGCCUCUGAGCUAAAGAAGAAGCUACCACAGGCCCACCACUGACUCUUCUAAGGAAAAGCUGCAUUUUCAAAAGUUCCAGGUUCCCAACUCUGAUUCUUCUCUAUUUCAAAUCAAGGAUAAAAAAAAGGAAGGGAGGGAAGGAAGGAAAGAAAGAAGCAGGAAAGAAGGGAAGGAGAGAAGUGGGAGGGAGGGAAAGAAGGGAGAGAAACAGCGAGAGAGAAGCUGCAGCCAAGCUCUGAAAUGACUCCACUUCUGUCGCUGUGUUUCUCCAGCUGAGAGCUUUCUUGGCCAUCAGUCUGUGCUCCCACUGCCCUCCCAGAAAAUAACUGGGUUUCCUUCCUUGACAGGUUUCUAGCCUGCUUCUACAUUGGCUUCUUUCUCGUUCCUUCCUUCCUUCCCUUCCUUCCUUCUUUCUCUCUCUCUCUUUCUUUUUGAGACAGAGUCUCACUCUGUCGCCCAGGCUGGAGUGCAGUGGCACGAUCUCAGCUCACUGCAACCUCUGCCUCUGAGUUCAAGCGAUUCUCCUGCCUCAGCCUCCCAAGUAGCUGGGACUACAAGCAUGCGCCACCACACCCAGCUAAUUUUUGUAUUUUUAGUAGAAAUGGGGUUUCACUGUGUUGGUCAUGCCGGUCUCAAUCUCCUGACCUUGUGAUCCACCUGCUUCAGCCUCCCAAAGUGCUGGGAUUACAGGCAUGAGCCACCGUGCCCGGCCCAUAUUGGAUUCUUUCUUAGGGUUCUAGAUUUUUUUCUCCCUCCCCCAAAAAUGCCUAUUUUAAAAAUGUGAAUAACACCUACAUAGCGUUUUUCUGCAGAGUCAUGGAGUCAUUCUCCCACUGAGGUCAAGCUGGUUUGGAGUUGGGGAGGGAUCAGACAAAGGUGCAUAGUAAGUUUUGACUCUGAGUUAAAGGAGUCAAGAUGAAUCAGUAAGCCUAGGGCAGUGGUUCCCAAAAUGGGGUCCCUGCCCAGCCGCAUCACAUCACCUGAGAACCUGUUAGAAAUGCAAAACUUCCCCGCCAUCCUGAAUCAGAAACUCUGGGGAGGGAGCCCAGCAAUCCGUGUUCCGGCAAAAGCCCUCCAGGUGAUUCUCAUGCACAUUCAAGUGUCAGAACUACGUGCCACGGGGAAAACCAGAAUGAGAACAGACAGUGAAUGAAAUGUGCAAGUGUUUAUUUAUUUAUCUAUGUACUUAUUUAUUUAUUUAUUUUGAAACGGAGUCUCGCUCUGUCGCCCAGGCUGGAGUGCAGUGGCGCCAUCUCGGCUCACUGCAAGCUCCGCCUCCCGGGUUCAAGAGAUUUUCCUGCCUCAGCCUCCUGAGUUGCUGGGAUUACAGGCGCCCACCACCACGCCCAGCUAAUUUUUGUAUUUUUGGUAGAGACGGGGUUUCACCAUGUUGGCCAGGCUGGUCUCAAACUCCUGACCUCAGGUGAUCCGCCCAUCUUGGCCUCCCAAAGUGCUGGGAUUACAGGCGUGAGCCACCGCGCCUGGCCUAUAUUUGAUUUUUUAACAUGUAACUGAGUCAGUGGGCUUCCCAACAUGUGGGCUGCAGAUAUCAGAGCAGGCUGUGGAGUUACCAUAAGGCCACAGAUUCAUGUCUGAGAACGAGUGUGUGUGUGUGUGUGUGUGUGUGUUUGUUACACACACAUAUACUGAGAUCUUUCAAGUUUAUACAGUUGCUGCUGUAAUUAAUAAGGUAGAAAUUUAUUCUGGGCCUCAGUUUAUCUGUAAAAUGGAGGGGUUAGAUUAGAAUCUAGUGAUUAGAUGAUCUCUGGAAAACUUUCCUGUUCUAAGAAAAUAUUAGUUAAAAUAACUAGGAAAAUUUCCAUCAAUGACACAUGAUUACAGUGUCAUAACUCAUGUCCAUAUUGUCCAACACCCUAAGAGAGUAACAGUUUCUCACACUGGUACAGACGUCUGGGUCCUCACACUGGUACAGACGUCUGGGCUUCACUAAGCACUACUCCCUUGACUUGAUCAGCUCCCAUUUUACAGAUGAAAGCCUGAAACUGGAAAGAUGAAGCAACUUGCCCAAGAACUUAGCGUUACUGAGGGUCACAGUGAGGACCUGACUUCAGGCCCCAAGACCAAAAUUGCCUCUUUACCGCCCUGCCUCUAGAGUAAUAGAGGUGGAGACAUUCUGGGUGUUAGAAGAGUGGAAUCUGGUGCUUACGCUUCGACAGAGCCCACUCUUACUGAAGCAGCCGUAUCUCCAGCCCAUCAAGGAGAUGAGGAUAGCUGCAGUGAGUACCUGCAGGAGAGAGAAGAAUGUUGAGAUGGGGAAAUCGACUUUGCCGGCUGUUUCUAGGUGCUGCCCACAGCUGUUAGAGUGGCUGGCAGCUCACAUGAACGCAGUCCUGUUGACUCUGACUCUGGGGACCCACAUUUGUAUGACGAGCCUGAUCUAACGCUGUGGAUGUUAACUUUCACACCCGACCUGCCUGGUCCCAAGCUAGGCUUCCUGUCUCUUAGAGCUUCUACAGACCCAAGAUCAGCUUGUUAGAAUAAACUUUUCUGCAAG